GACGAACGCUGGCGGCGUGCUUAACACAUGCAAGUCGAGCGGAAAGGCCCUGCUUUUGUGGGGUGCUCGAGCGGCGAACGGGUGAGUAACACGUGAGUAACCUGCCCUUGACUUUGGGAUAACUUCAGGAAACUGGGGCUAAUACCGGAUAGGAGCUCCUGCUGCAUGGUGGGGGUUGGAAAGUUUCGUCGGUUGGGGAUGGACUCGCGGCUUAUCAGCUUGUUGGUGGGGUAGUGGCUUACCAAGGCUUUGACGGGUAGCCGGCCUGAGAGGGUGACCGGCCACAUUGGGACUGAGAUACGGCCCAGACUCCUACGGGAGGCAGCAGUGGGGAAUAUUGCACAAUGGGCGGAAGCCUGAUGCAGCAACGCCGCGUGCGGGAUGACGGCCUUCGGGUUGUAAACCGCUUUCGCCUGUGACGAAGCGUGAGUGACGGUAAUGGGUAAAGAAGCACCGGCUAACUACGUG
This 468-nucleotide ribosomal RNA is filed under the name uncultured bacterium. Its description in RNAcentral is "partial 16S ribosomal RNA". It matches the Rfam family "Bacterial small subunit ribosomal RNA", at positions 28 to 507 of the family's 1533-position model. The record is from RNAcentral.